GGCCUACCAUGGUGGUAACGGGUAACGGGGUGUUAGGGCACGACACCGGAGAGGGAGCCUGAGAAACGGCUACCACAUCCAAGGAUGGCAGCAGGCGCGCAAAUUACCCAAUCCCGACACGGGGAGGUAGUGACAAUAAAUAACAAUACGGGGUUCUUUCGGAUCUCGUAAUUGGAAUGAGUACAAUUUAAAUCUCUUAACGAGGAACAAUUGGAGGGCAAGUCUGGUGCCAGCAGCCGCGGUAAUUCCAGCUCCAAUAGCGUAUAUUAAAGUUGUUGCAGUUAAAAAGCUCGUAGUUGAAUUUCGGGGUCAGCAGGUUGGUCGUGCCAAUGGUAUGCACUGGCCUUGCUGAUUCCUCCCUCUUGAUGAGCCGUAAUGUCAUUAAUUUGGUGUUGUGGGGAAUCAGGACUGUUACUUUGAAAAAAUUAGAGUGUUUAAAGCAGGCUCACGCUUGAAUACAUUAGCAUGGAAUAAUGAAAUAGGACGUUUGAUUCUAUUUUGUUGGUUUCUAGGAUCGACGUAAUGAUUAAUAGGGAUAGUUGGGGGCAUUAGUAUUCAAUUGUCAGAGGUGAAAUUCUUGGAUUUAUUGAAGACUAACUACUGCGAAAGCAUUUGCCAAGGAUGUUUUCAUUAAUCAAGAACGAAAGUUAGGGGAUCGAAGACGAUCAGAUACCGUCGUAGUCUUAACCAUAAACUAUGCCGACUAGGGAUCGGAUGAUGUUAAUUUUUUAAUGACUCAUUCGGCGCCUUACG
RNAcentral lists this ribosomal RNA (753 nucleotides) under uncultured Glomeromycotina. Its description in RNAcentral is "SSU rRNA". It matches the Rfam family "Eukaryotic small subunit ribosomal RNA", at positions 338 to 1092 of the family's 1831-position model. The record is from RNAcentral. Lineage: Eukaryota; Fungi; Glomeromycota.